RNAcentral lists this long non-coding RNA (629 nucleotides) under Nicotiana benthamiana. RNAcentral's name for it is "long non-coding RNA (NBEN_LNC041253)". Lineage: Eukaryota; Viridiplantae; Streptophyta; Magnoliopsida; Solanales; Solanaceae. The record is from RNAcentral.
AAAGUUGCUCAAACAACUUUAAUCAAUCAAUUAGAAAACAUAUAAUUCAAAAAAUACUUACAAUGUAUUUAAAUUUGAAUUUGAAUAUGAAAUUUGAAUGCGAGACGGAAUCUACGGAAAGACGGACUGAUGGAGAAAAUACAAAGAAGAUCUGAAAUUUGAAUCUAGAAAUACAGAGGAGAGACAAACUUUUAUAUGUUUUGAAAGGGGUAUAAUGAUCAUAUUAUUACAAAUUUUUUGUUAGUUGAUUAAAUAAUCAACACUUUUUAAAAAUAAGGUACAGGUUAGAAGGUGGCAUAAAAAUAGAUUACGCUGCAAAUCCCCCGCUGUUAUUGCUUAUGACCCAAUACAUACCUCAGUAGGGGUGUUCAUCGGGCGAAUUGGGCGAUUUUCUCUUAACGGUUUGGCUUAACGGUUAUCGGCUUUUAUAUGUAUUAAUCCGUUAGCCACCCGAUAAGAUAUCGGGCACAUUGGUAUCAGGUUAGCUCUUAUAGGGCGGUUAUUGGGCGGCUUAUCGGCCUAACAUACAUGUUUACUAAAUAUCUCUUAUUAUCCUCGUCUUAGAAAUAAUGAAUUGCCAUAAAAAAAUAAUAUUUUAGAGGCAAUAUGAUGUAGCUAAUGAAACAAUC